GGGUUGUGAGGUUAAGCGACUAAGCGUACACGGUGGAUGCCCUGGCAGUCAGAGGCGAUGAAGGGCGUGCUAAUCUGCGAUAAGCGCCGGUAAGGUGAUAUGAACCGUUAUAACCGGCGAUACCCGAAUGGGGAAACCCAGUGUGACUCGUCACACUAUCAUUAACUGAAUCCAUAGGUUAAUGAGGCGAACCGGGGGAACUGAAACAUCUAAGUACCCCGAGGAAAAGAAAUCAACCGAGAUUCCCCCAGUAGCGGCGAGCGAACGGGGAGGAGCCCAGAGCCUGAAUCAGCAUGUGUGUUAGUGGAAGCGUCUGGAAAGUCGCGCGAUACAGGGUGACAGCCCCGUACACAAAAGCGCAUGUGCUGUGAGCUCGAUGAGUAGGGCGGGACACGUGGUAUCCUGUCUGAAUAUGGGGGGACCAUCCUCCAAGGCUAAAUACUCCUGACUGACCGAUAGUGAACCAGUACCGUGAGGGAAAGGCGAAAAGAACCCCGGCGAGGGGAGUGAAAAAGAACCUGAAACCGUGUACGUACAAGCAGUGGGAGCCCCACCACCAAAGCAUUCUCUGGUGUUGAAGGCCCUGCAAAGCAGCAUCGCGGUGGCGGAGCGUCGUUUGCGACGCCCAACACACAAAACAAGCGAUGAGUGCUUUGGGGUGGGGUGACUGCGUACCUUUUGUAUAAUGGGUCAGCGACUUAUAUUCUGUAGCAAGGUUAACCGAAUAGGGGAGCCGCAGGGAAACCGAGUCUUAAU
RNAcentral lists this ribosomal RNA (756 nucleotides) under Salmonella enterica. RNAcentral describes it as "partial 23S ribosomal RNA". It matches the Rfam family "Bacterial large subunit ribosomal RNA", at positions 1 to 688 of the family's 2925-position model. The record is from RNAcentral. Lineage: Bacteria; Pseudomonadati; Pseudomonadota; Gammaproteobacteria; Enterobacterales; Enterobacteriaceae.